Molecule: long non-coding RNA, 305 nt
Organism: Rhagoletis pomonella (apple maggot)
Lineage: Eukaryota; Metazoa; Arthropoda; Insecta; Diptera; Tephritidae
Exons: 3
Source: RefSeq, a predicted model, not a curated record
UGUUUGUGUUGAAUGUAAUUUUGGUAGGGUUGAAAUCAGCACAAAGAGUUCUGUCGAGCCACAUUUUUGGUUUUUGCAUCGCUAGAUUGUUGAUAUUCUAGACUUACGUGCACAGAACGACUUCGGACUAAUUCUGAUUAAAUCCUGCAGUACGGGAACAGACUAACUGUCGGAAAGUUGGUUGCAAGUUUGGACUAUCAAAGACACAAACCGAAUCGGGUCAAAAAAAAGGGUUGCAUUCGCACAAACUCCAAAUAAAAGUGGUGUUUAAGGAGAGUUUAACGAAAUUUUUUGAAUGAUAAACU